UGCCUCCUUGUUCUUGUCUGCCUUAGUAGGUUUGACUGGAAAAAAAAGAAGUGAAAAUGAGCUUCUAUUUGUUUUGCCACUGGAUUUGUUGAAGUCUGUUUGGGAAGAUAGUGAAGCUAAUCUCACUAAUGGACUCAUAAAUGCUGCCCAGUUUGGGAGAAGCAGAAGUGAACAAAUAUGUGCCACUGGCUAUCUGUCAGAGUGGUUACGGUGCUAAUGAAAAUUUGGAACGCCAUUGCAAGCUGGAAUGUUUGGCAGAAGCAAGAAUAUUUCUGUGCUGUUUAUGAGGUAUAUAAAAAGAUUCAGUAUGCUAAGUGUGGAAUACUCUGCAGAAGAAAAUUCUUUUCCUUGAAGCAUGAAGUGAGUGCUAGAAAUGACCUCUGUCAUUUACAUUUGAAACAUA
This is a long non-coding RNA of Cygnus olor (mute swan), 403 nucleotides long. RefSeq lists it as uncharacterized. The transcript has 3 exons. The record is from RefSeq and is a predicted model, not a curated record. NCBI's taxonomy places the organism in Eukaryota, Metazoa, Chordata, Aves, Anseriformes, Anatidae.